RNAcentral lists this long non-coding RNA (738 nucleotides) under Mus musculus (house mouse). Its description in RNAcentral is "long non-coding RNA chr3:90289990-90290728". The record is from RNAcentral. Lineage: Eukaryota; Metazoa; Chordata; Mammalia; Rodentia; Muridae.
AGCACUGGGCAGUGGUGGCGCAAGCCUUUAAUCCCAGUUUUGUCUUUGAGCAUAACCAUUAAAAAAUUGCAACUAAACUCUUCCCCCACCCUCCGAAUCACUAAUAACCACCAACCUUGACUCUCAGGGCCCUUGAAUUUAUAUAUCCUUUGAAAAGUUCCCAGAAUUCCAAAUGUCACACAAUCACAGGAAUUAUCUGCAGCUGGCAAAACCACAACUCUGCUAGAGCAGGAGGCAAAUCAUAGUCAGCUGCUGUGGGUAGUCUGCAGCAGCCCCACAUCCCUACACCUGGGAUUAAAACAAGGGCACAUUCCUUUAAUAUUUGUGUUUUUUUUUUCUCCCCAAAGAAACCCAAAUUCCAGAAUUCUUACUACAGAUGGCUCUUUAGACAGCAGAGGAACUUUGCAUUGAUGAUGGACAAAGCUUUAGUCAAGAAGAAUUUCUGGCCGGGCGGUGGUGGCGCACGUCUUUAAUCCCAGCACUCACAUCACAGAGUACGUGCCUGGUUGAGUGUACUGUAGGACUUCUGUAACAGUAAACCUUAGAUCUACACUAGGUGCUUUAUCCUUUGUUCAGUGACUCAAGAGAGUCAGCAAAAGCUGAAGAUGAUGGAGUUAAAAUAUAAACAAGCUGAAUUUGGAGCUAAAAUCGUGAAAUCAUUGGAACAUUAGGAAAAUUCUUAUAGUUCUUGAGUGUAUAUAUCAAAUGCUAUAUUUUUAUAAAAGUGUAUUUUGUGUG